UAUUGACUAACGUCUGACCUACUGGCU
This 27-nucleotide non-coding RNA is filed under the name Rattus norvegicus (Norway rat). The record is from RNAcentral. Lineage: Eukaryota; Metazoa; Chordata; Mammalia; Rodentia; Muridae.